GUGCUUGUUUCGGCAGCAUACAUACUAAAACUAGAAUGGUACAGAAAAGAUUAGCAUGGCCUUUGGGCAAGGAUGACAUGCAAAUCUGUGAAGCAUUUUAAAAGAAA
Molecule: small nuclear RNA, 107 nt
Filed under: Meriones unguiculatus (Mongolian gerbil)
Lineage: Eukaryota; Metazoa; Chordata; Mammalia; Rodentia; Muridae
Source: RNAcentral